This 15250-nucleotide long non-coding RNA is filed under the name Cicer arietinum (chickpea). RNAcentral describes it as "long non-coding RNA (CARI_LNC003044)". The record is from RNAcentral. Lineage: Eukaryota; Viridiplantae; Streptophyta; Magnoliopsida; Fabales; Fabaceae.
UAGGGUACGAACCGGUAGGAUCGUCCUGACUCUCAUCUAAGGGCAAAGCCCAGAUUUCCACAAUAAUUGUAAAGGGUCACCAACUGAAAUUAACAGAUAACACAUAACAUUUAAGUUUUAAAUGCACAAAAUAACCUUUCAACUAAGCAUGCACCUUAAAAGGAUUUUCCAUAUGCUAAAAGUUCAUAUAAUGCUUGCCAAUUAACAAUGAACUCAAAAUGAAGUUCUCAAACCAUCAAGUAACAAUAAACUCAAAAUGAAGUUCUCAAACCAUCAAGUAAUACAUAACUGACCAAAGCAUUGAUAAAUCAAUUGAGCAAUCGAUUAUCUAACUCAAAAUAAGGACUUUUGUUGAGCCAAUCGAUUGCCAAAUCAAUUUGGUCAGUUCUGCUGAGUUUCUGCAUGACCAAAUCGAUUUCUAAGUCGAUUUUGUCAGUUCUGAUGAGUCCCUGUGUUGCCAAAUCGAUUUCCAAAUCGAUUUGGGCAGUUUUGCUGAGUUCCUGCCUCUCUGCCAAUCGAUUUCCAAAUCGAUUUCUUAAAAGAUUUUGAAAGACAUAUUUAUACAAUCGAUUGGCAAAUCGAUUAGGUCAAAAUGGUGAACUUCCUGCAACUCAUCCAAUCGAUUGGGAAAUCGAUUUCCCUCAUCAUUUUUCCAAAAAUUCAUAACUAACUCAAUCACAUUCAUACAUAAUCUCAAAUCCUAACACUUAGCACUGAUAACGCAAUCGCUACAACAUCAUUAGUUUCGAAAUAGUAUUGCAAGCAAACAUGUUAUCACCAAAUUCCAAAACAUAACACUUAACAUUUAUAACACAAUUAAUACAACAUCAUGGGUUUCAAAAUGGUAUAGCAAUCCAACAUGUUAUCACCAAAUUCCAAAACAUAACACUUAACAUUUAUAACACAAUCAAUACAACAUCAUGGGUUUCAAAAUGGUAUAGCAAUCCAACAUGUUAUCACCAAAUUCCAAAACAUAACACUUAUAACACAAUUACUACACAUACCAAAUGAACCAACAAUUCACAAUUUAACAGGGUGUAGUCUCUCACGGACAAACACCUGUGCAGUCUCUCACGGACAAACACAAUUCCCUCAGGAACGUAACUCGUAAACGUACCACCUAUCACGGGUCAGUACUGUUUACCGAGGUGCCACCUAUCCCGGGUCUGCACAACUUACCAAACGUAAAUCGUAAACGUACUGUCUAUCACGGACCCGUACCGUUUACCAAGGUGCCACCUAUCACGGGUCUGCACGAUUUACCAAAACAUACAUAAGUAAACGAGACAUUAAGAGAUUCCCCAUUCUUAAUUCUCAUCUAACUUAAACCAGGGCGUAGUCUCUCACGGACAAACCCCUGCGCAGUCUCUCACGGACAAACGCAAUUCCCGCAGGAACGUAAAUUGUAAACGUACUACCUAUCCCGGGUCCGUACUGUUUACCGAGGUGCCACCUAUCCCGGGUCAGCACAACUUACCAAAACAUACACGAGUAAACGAGACAUUAAGAGAUUCCCCAUUCUUAAUUCUCAUCUAACUUAAACCAGGGCGUAGUCUCUCACGGACAAACCCCUGCGCAGUCUCUCACGGACAAACGCAAUUCCCGCAGGAACGUAAGUCGUAAACGUACUACCUAUCACGGGUCCGUACCGUUUACCGAGGUGCCACCUAUCCCGGGUCUGCACAACUUACCAAACACAAUUCCCUCAGGAACGUAAGUCGUAAACGUACUACCUAUCACGGGUCCGUACUGUUUACCGAGGUGCCACCUAUCCCGGGUCUGCACAACUUACCAAACACAAUUCCCUCAGGAACGUAAGUCGUAAACGUACUACCUAUCACGGGUCCGUACCGUUUACCGAGGUGCCACCUAUCCCGGGUCAGCACAACUUACCAAAACAUACACGAGUAAACGAGACAUUAAGAGAUUCCCCAUUCUUAAUUCUCAUCUAACUUAAACCAGGGCGUAGUCUCUCACGGACAAACCCCUACGCAGUCUCUCACGGACAAACGCAAUUCCCGCAGGAACGUAAGUCGUAAACGUACUACCUAUCACGGGUCCGUACCGUUUACCGAGGUGCCACCUAUCCCGGGUCAGCACAACUUACCAAAACAUACACGAGUAAACAAGACAUUAAGAGAUUCCCCAUUCUUAACGCCCAGUUAACUUAAACAAUUUUCCAAACAAAAUAAUAAGUAACCGAGACAUUAAGAGAUUCCCCAUUCUUAACGCCCAGUUAACUUAAACGGUUUUCAAAACAAAAUGUUAAGUAACCGAGACAUUAAGAGAUUCCCCAUUCUUAACGCCCAGUUAACUUAAACAAUUUUCCAAACAAAAUAACAAGUAACCGAGACAUUAAGAGAUUCCCCAUUCUCAACGCCCAGUUAACUUAAACAAUUUUCAAAACAAAAUAAUAAGUAACCGAGACAUUAAGAGAUUCCCCAUUCUUAACGCCCAGUUAACUUAAACGAUUUUCAAAACAAAAUAUUAAGUAACCGAGACAUUAAGAGAUUCCCCAUUCUCAACGCCCAGUUAACUUAAACAAUUUUCCAAACAAAAUAAUAAGUAACCGAGACAUUAAGAGAUUCCCCAUUCUUAACGCCCAGUUAACUUAAACGAUUUUUCUUUAAAACAAAAUAUUAAGUAACCGAGACAUUAAGAGAUUCCCCAUUCUUAACGCCCAGUUAACUUAAACGAUUUUUCUUUAAAACAAAAUAUUAAGUAACCGAGACAUUAAGAGAUUCCCCAUUCUUAACGCCCAGUUAACUUAAACGAUUUUCAAAACAAAAUAUUAAGUAACCGAGACAUUAAGAGAUUCCCCAUUCUUAACGCCCAGUUAACUUAAACGAUUUUCAAAACAAAAUAUUAAGUAACCGAGACAUUAAGAGAUUCCCCAUUCUUAACGCCCAGUUAACUUAAACGAUUUUCAAAACAAAAUAUUAAGUAACCGAGACAUUAAGAGAUUCCCCAUUCUUAACGCCCAGUUAACUUAAACGAUUUUUCUUUAAAACAAAAUAUUAAGUAACCGAGACAUUAAGAGAUUCCCCAUUCUUAACGCCCAGUUAACUUAAACGAUUUUUCUUUAAAACAAAAUAUUAAGUAACCGAGACAUUAAGAGAUUCCCCAUUCUUAAUACUCAUUUAACUUAAUGGUUUUCAAAUUCCACACAAAAAAACUCAAACAAAUUCUCACAUUCAAUUCAUAAUUCACACCAAAACACAUCAAUCAACAAACAUCAAGUAUGAACAUGCCAAAUACGAUGAACACAAAUCAACAUAAUAAAUUUCAUUUAUUCAAAAUCUUACAUACAUGAGGUAAAAUCAUUUUUCCCAAAACAAUACUCCAAUCCUAACACAAUUCGUUUCCACACAACCACAGAUAAGGCCCUAGAUGCAAACUAAAAGUUUGGAAGGAGCCCUUACCUUAACGUUAGCUCAAACGUGCGUUUCCGGUACCGUGAGUAAAUCCGGUAAAUUUUCCGCUCGCAACACCGCUUCCAAAACUGGUCCACUAGCGCCGUAGCACGGUAGUGAGCAACUUUCCCUUCUAACUCUUCGCGAAAUGAAGCUUGGAUCUAGAAGAAACGAAGGGGUUUGUGUUUGAAUCUCAAAUACCGUUUUUCUUCGUUUUCGGAUCAAAGAGGAAGAGUGGAGUUGCGAAACCUUUGUUCUAACACUCACCCAACCUUGGGUUACUAGUCUUGAAGAAAAGAAAGCAACGAAAAUGAAAAUGGGAGAAGGAGGGAAAAUGGGUCGCGCACGCAGGGAGAGGAAGAAGAUGAAGUUUUGGAUUUUCUUUCCUUCCUUUUUCCUUUCUUUGUUUUUCCUUCCUUUCUAUUUCCUUCUUUCCUUUAUAUAACCUUUUCUCUUCCUUUUCCUUCCUUCUAAUUUUCUUUCUUUCUAUUCUCUCCAAACAGUUUAUGCAAAUCUACCUUAUGAUAUUUUCUCAUGUUCCUUGGAGGAUGUGGAAUUUCUUGAGGUAGUCCAAAUUGUAGUUUCACUCUAUUAGUUUGAUGCAUUUCUAUUAGGUAGAAACAAAUUAAAUAUGUAGAUGCAUUCCAUAGGCAAUUGUCUUCUGGAUGAUCGUAUGUUAGACCUAGAUAUGGCCUCCAAAUAAACUGAUAUAUAACAAGUUUGUUAGUAAUAUAUGCAUAAGAAAAGUAAAAUAAUAAAAAUAAUGUAAUGUUUUAAUAUAUUACAUCGUUAACGGUCAUGUGAUCAAUUUUUUAUAGAUAUCCAGCGGUAUGAUAACGAGGUGUAUCGCCAAAUUUCAUACCCUUUCCACUAUAUCUACGAAAAUAAAUUUGAAUGUUAGUAAAUAAAUUAAUAUAUUUAUAAAUAUAAUAUUUAACUUUUUUUUAUAUUAACCUUUUUGAGAAUGGAAAAUGAGGCUCAAAAUUACUUAUUGGUGCAAGAAACGGCAUAUGGUACCAUGCCCACGUUUGAAGUAGAUGUGAACAUCCCCGAUCGACAUAACACCGGGUUCAGAUGCACGACACAAUUCUCUAUAAAGUGUUGCCAAGCAUGCUGAACCCCAACUAUAUUGUCCUGUCUCUCGCAAAUCUCUCAACAAGUGCAACCACAUAAUAUGUACUCUGUUGUGAGAUUUGUAAGGCAUUAAUAUGCCGCCAAUCAAUUCUAAAAUGCAUGCUCUACAAUGUGACUUAGAGUUUCUGAGUUUUAUUAUUAUGUAUUUUCUUCAAAGAACACUUACAGGUUUUCUCUGUAUUUCUAGUUUAAGGCUUGGAUACUCAUUAUGGUUUGUUUAAGGUGUUCUGGCUUGGAUACUCACAAUUUUUUUUCAACUGUGAUUAAAAUUUAAUUUUAAUUACAUUGCAUCUAAUCUUAAUAAUUUGGUUUCUAAUUUAAAAUGUAUUCUAUGUGCAGGUUUAUGGCUGAAAUUAAUUUUAUUUGUGAGUUGAAGUGAUAUGGAGUACCAUUGAAGGCUUAAAUCUUGUUAUGUUGAUUUAUGGUCUCAUAAAUUAAUUUUACAUCUUUUUGAUUAUUAAACUCCAAAAUAUUAUUAACUUUGGCUUAAAAACCUCCGAGCCAAAAUCCAAAAUACACCAAAAAUACAUAAAUGGUACUUUAAAAUUAUGGGUCUUACAUUACUCCCCCCCUAAAAUUAGUUUCGUCCUCGAAACUAUGCAUCGAUAAAUAACUCUGGGUGUUGUUCUCUCAUCUUGCUCUCCAAUUCCCAAGUCGCAUCUCCAGUGAUUGGGUUCCAAAUAACCUUGACCAACGAAACAUCCUUGGUCCUCAACCGCUUAAUCUUCCUAUCAUCAAUUCUCACGGGUGGUACUUCGAACGACAGGUUAUCCUUUAGCUGGAUUGCGUCUGGUUCGAUCACGUGAGAUGGAUCUGCGAGAUAUUUCCUCAACUGUGACACAUGAAACACGUCAUGAAUAUUGGACAGUAUCGGAGGUAAUGCAAUGCGAUAAGCCACCGGCCCAAUUCGUGCAGAAAUCUGAUAUGGUCCAAUGAAUUUCGGAGUCAACUUCUUCGAUUUCAAGGCUCUACCUACUCCAGUAGUAGGUGUGACUCUCAGAAAUACAUGGUCACCCUGUUCGAAUUCCAAAAGUCUGCGACGCUUGUCCACGUAACUCUUCUGACGAUCUUGUGAAGUCUUCAUUUUCUCCUUGAUCUUCCUUACUUUAAUUGUGGUAUGUUGCACCAUCUCUGGUCCGACAAUCAUAUUCUCACCGUCUUUAUACCAACACAAGGGCGUUUGACACUUGCGCCCAUAUAAAGCUUCAUAUGGUGCCAUUCCAAUACUUGCGUGGAAACUAUUGUUGUAAGUGAACUCAAUCAACGGAAGUACAUCAUCCCAGCUUCCCCUAUCAUCUAAUACACAUGCUCUCAACAGAUCUUCCAAGGACUGAUUCGUCCUUUCAGUCUGUCCGUCCGUUUGUGGAUGGUAAGCUGAACUCAAUCGUAGCUUCGUUCCCAACGCUUCGUGCAAUGCUCCCCAAAAAUGCGAUGUGAACUUCGGAUCACGGUCUGAUACAAUGCUCGAUGGUACCCCGUGUAACCUCACAAUUUCAGCAAUGUAGAUCUCCGUUAGCUGAUCUACCUUAUAGGUGGUCCUUACCGGCAAAAAGUGAGCAGAUUUAGUCAGCCGGUCCACUAUCACCCAUAUAGAAUCAUUCUUCCUCCUUGUCUUCGGUAAUCCGGUUAUAAAAUCCAUGGAAAUGCUGUCCCACUUCCAUUCAGGUAUAUCUAAAGGUUGCAACAUUCCAGCAGGUCGCUGAUGUUCCACCUUCGCUUUCUGACAAGUUAGACAAGUGGAUACAUAUUCCGCCACAUGUUUCUUCAUUCCUGGCCACCAAUAAUUCUGCCUCAAAUCCUGAUACAUCUUUGUUGCUCCAGGAUGAAUACUCAGCUUACUCUUAUGCGCCUCUUCUAAAAUCGUUUUCCGCAUAUCUGUAAUGGCUGGUACACAAAUCCUACCAUUACACCGCAAAACAUUAUCUGCCCCAAUCUUGAACUCAGUCGUCUUCCCUUGUACUAUUAGAUUCCUCUUCUCUUGAAUUAAGACGUCAUCCUGAGAAUUCGCAAUGUCUUCAAGUAAUCCACUCGAGAUCUUAAUCAUUCCGAAUUUCAAAAUUCCCGGUCCGAACUCUACGUUCAAGUGUAGGUCUCUAAAAGCCUCCUGGUUCGGGGAAAAGAACCAAUUUCCGAGCACAAUCCAAGAUCACAUAGUGAUAAGACAUCCAAUCCAUACCGAGGAUGACCUCGAGUGAUUGUAGCGGUAAACAAAUUAGAUUAACCAAGAAAUCCCUAUUCUGAAUAGUCAUUCGACAAUGUAAACAUGCUGAAUUUACGGUUAAGGUCUUAGCAGGCGUGGAAACAACCAAAUCAAAAGGUAAAGCAGACACAGAUAACUUCAAGCGAUUCACACAGUCCAUAGCAAUGAAGGAAUGGGUUGCCCCCGAAUCAAAGAGUGCAGUUAGAGUGUUACCUGCAAUCUCACAAUCACGCUGAAUCAGAUUACCAGAUGGAUUUCCCUCUUCAGCAUUCACACAAUAAAUGCGUCCUCUAGCAGUAGGACGGGUAGCCCUAGCUACAUUCACCACUGGUUCCACCUUUGGAGCCGUGCACUCCCUUGCCAUGUGCCCCGACUUCUGACAAUUGUGACAGAUGGGGAUGUUAGUGGUACAAGCACUAGCAUAGUGUCCUUCUUUCCCACAUCGGAAACAUCGAAGCACUUGCCCCAUUUGCCUUCCGAAAUUCUGGUUCCCUGGGCGACUCGGUCCACCGUUGUUAUUCUGGGGGCGAUUAUAAGGUUUAGCCACUUGUUUUCCCCUAUUCUGAUAAGUCGCCCGACUAGGGCCUCCCGAAUUAAAAUUCCCAACUCGGCUAGCCCUCUUGUUCUUCAUAUCUUCCACUUCUCUACAUUUCUCUACCAGCGCUUGGAAACGUUGAAUUCCCAAAGGUAAGACGGAAUCUUGAAUCUCAUACUUCAAUCCGUCUUGGAAACGAUGACACAUGAACGGUUCAUCAAUUUCUUCACGGAAGAACCUGAAAUGCCUCGAUAGUGAUUCAAAUUUAGCAGCAUACUCGCCCACAGUCAGGCUCCCCUGGUGAAGUUUCAGAAAGUCGUCACCCAACUUAGUCCUGGUACUCAUCGGAAAGUAUUUGUCUAAAAACUUUCUUUUGAACGAUUCCCAGUUCACCUCCUCGUGGGCUGCUCCCAUCAACAACCUUGCACUCCUCCACCAGUAUUCAGCAUCCCCUAGCAACAUAUACGUGGCAUAGCUGACCUUCACUCCAGCCUGGCAGUUAAUCAUAUCAAAGAUUUUCUCCACUUCUUGGAUCCAUUGAUCCGCCUUCUCUGAACCCUCAUCCCCCUUGAACUUAGGAGGAUUGUAACGACGGAAGUCUUCCAACCCUCUUGAUUCUGCAGCACGGAUCUCUCUUCCCCUCUUUUCAAGAUCCCGUUGAGUCUUGGCAGCGGUCUGUGCAGCGACAGAAGCAGCCAUGUUGUUCAUAGCCUCCGCCAUUUGGUCAUUCCUAGCGUUGGCUCUCGGAGCGUCAUUCCUUCUGGGCGGCAUGGUUUCCUAUAAGAACCAUCAUCAAGUAGAGUUUUAACACUACUUCAAAUAAUUCUAAACUAACGUCCGACUAACAACACACAAUUAAAUUGGACUUGACAACUCAAGUCACCUAAACCGACACAUGAUCAGAUAACAACUCCUAACUUAUAGGUCGACCUACAAUCUAUAACCAAGGUUCCACAGCUCCCAAAGAAAACUAAACCUAUGCUCUGAUACCACAAUGUAACACCCCGUUUUUCAAAGCGAGGGUAUAUUUUUUUUUUUCUAAAAGUAAUUAAAACGAACAAAGAAUAAAUCAGGAAAUGCUUUUGGAUAAAUAAUUGAGUCAUUAUAAUUUACGCAGCGGAAAAGUUUCUCCAAUUAUAAAUCCAAAACAUUUUUACAUAAACAUCAAAUGGUACAUGGGACCCAUUCAAAGAUGAUAUAAAACUGAUAAUAUUUGUAUAAGUACAGUUUUCCAAAACUAAAAUACUCCAAACCAAAAAGAAGGACCCCUAGUCCCUAUACAUCAUCCUAAUCUGAUCAUCCUACCAAAAACUAUACACCCUGAGUAAUCUCCACGCGCCCCGUGAGAUCCUCCUAACACAACAGCAGUCAAGCGUUCCCAUCUCCAUCCCUGUCCGUAGGGUACGAACCAGUAGGGCCGUCCUGACUCUCAUCUGAGGGCAAAGCCCAGAUUUCCACAAUAGUGUAAAGGGUCACCAACCAGAAAAUAACAGUUAACACAUAGCAAUUAAGUUUUUGAAUGCUCAAAACAACUUUUUAACUAAGCAUGCACCUUAACAGGAUUUUCAAUGUGCGAAAAGUUCAUACAUUACAUUGCCAAUGAAAAUGAAGGUAAAAUGCAGUUCUCGAUCUCCUAAUUAACACAUGGUAAAACAAAACAUGGAUAGAUUCAUGAGCAAUUAAUCAUACAACUAAAAAUGAGGAUUUUCACUGAGCCAAUCGAUUGGGCAAUCGAUUGGGGUGAAGAUUUUUAAUGAAAACAGAAUCCUGGGCUGAAUUCAAUCGAUUGGUAAAUCGAUUGAUUGGUUCCUGAGCCCCUGGUUUCGAGCCAAUCGAUUUCCUAAUCGAUUUGGUGAGGGAUUCUUAAUGAAAACAGAAUCCUGGGCUGAAUUCAAUCGAUUGGUAAAUCGAUUGAUUGGUUCCUGAGCCCCUGACUUAAGGCCUAAUCGAUUGGGCAAUCGAUUUCUUAACUGAUUCCUUUGAAAAUUGUUUUCGAAAUCGAUUGGCUAAUCGAUUUUGUUCAUUUGGCCAAGCCCCUGACUUCCAUCCAAUCGAUUGGGAAAUCGAUUUCCCUGAUCAGUUUUCCAAAAAUUCAUGAAUUAACCUAAGUCAUUCCUAAUCAAGUUCACCACUUAACACUUAGCAAUUUCUACGCGAUUACUACGACACACAAAGGUUCGAUAACCAUCAUACUCACACACAAUACACAACACAUAGCACUUAACACCUUCAUCUCAGUUAUCACGAUAAAUCAAAAUUCGAAUCACUCAAUCAUAAACUCAAAUCAAACAUGACUCGCGUGCCAGGCACCCUAAUGCAAUGCGUAUAUGCCAAAAUGCAUGGACUCGGAAUUCCAAACCAAAACCCUCCUCGAAGGGCCGUAAAUCAUAAUUGUACCGCCUAUCGCAGGCCAAAGUACCAAUUACCGAGGUGCCACCUAUCACGGGUCAGCACGAUUUACUAAAAUGCGUAAAUCAUAAACGUACCACCUAUCACGGGUCAGUACAGUUUACCGAGGUGUCACCUAUCACGGGUCAACACGAUUUACUAAAAGAAAAAGCGGGAAUCGUAAAUGUACCACCUAUCACGGGUCAGUACAGUUACCAUGGUGUCACCUAUCACGGGUCAACACGAUUUACUAAAAGAAAAAGCGGGAAUCGUAAAUGUACCACCUAUCACGGGUCAGUACAGUUUACCAAGGUGUCACCUAUCACGGGUCAACACGAUUUACUAAAAUGUAAAUCGCAAACGUACAACCUAUCACGGGUCCGUACAGUUUACCAAGGUGUCACCUAUCACGGGUCAACACGAUUUACUAAAAUGUAAAUCGCAAACGUACAACCUAUCACGGGUCCGUACAGUUUACCAAGGUGUCACCUAUCACGGGUCGACACAAUUUACCAAAUGAAAUGCAUGAGCAUACACAGACUCCAUUCACAACAAUCGUUAAGCAAAUGCAGAUAUUAAAAGAUUCCCCAUUUUUAAUACCCAUUUAACUUAAACGACUUUCAAACAACAUUAAUUAAAUAAGUCAUUAAGAGAUUCCCCGUUCUUAAUACCGAUUUAUCUUAAUGAUUUUCAAAACAAAACGUUAAGCAAACAGUCAUAUUAAGAGAUUCCCCAUUCUUAAUAUACUUUUGACUUAAACGAUUUUCACACAAAAUAUUCAGUAAACGAGUCAUUAAGAGAUUCCCCAUUCUUAACACUCAUUUACCGGAACGAUUUUCAAAAACGAUCGUUAAGUAACCGGGACAUUAAGAGAUUCCCCAUUCUCAACGCCCAGUUAACUUAAACCUUUUCCUCAAAUGCACAUUAAGUAAACCGAGGUAUUAAAAGAUUCCCCAUUUUUAAUACUCGUUUAACUCUAAUGGUUUUCAAAUUCCACGGAAACAAACUCAAACAUACUCUCACAUUCAAACCAUAAUUCACAACAACCACACCAAUUAACAAACAUCAAGUAUGGACACGCCAAAUACAACGAACACAAAUCAAAGCCAACAUAACACCCAGAUACAUCAAAUUUCAUUUACCCAUAAUCAUACACAAUGACAUUCAAAUUCAUUUACCACGAAACAUUCAUCACUAUAAACAAAACCUAACUCUAAGGUUUUUACCCAUAACGCACUAGUUUCGUUUUUCCCCAAAUCGAUACAUUUAACCCUAACAAAUUCCUUCCCACACAACCACAGAUAAGUCCCUAAUGCAACUAGAAGUUUGGAAGGUGCCCUUACCUCAAUGUUAGCUUUAUCGUGCGUUUCCGGUACCGCGAGUAAUUCCGGUAAAAUCUCCGCUCGCAACGCCGCUUCCAAAUUAGUUCCCUAGCACCGUAGCGUGGUGGUGAGCAACUUUCCCUUCUAUCUCUUCGAGAAAUGAGGUUUGGAUCUAGGAGAAACGGAGGGGUUUGUGUUUGGAUCUCAAAAACCGUUUUUCUUCGUUUUCGAAUCAAAGAGGAAGAGUGGAGUUGCGAAAACCUUGAUCUAACUCUCACCCAACCUUGGGUUACUAGUUUUGAAGAAAAGAAAGCGACGAAAAUGAAAACGGGAGAAAGUAGAAAAAUAGGUCACGGUUAGAGGAAGAAGAUGGAAUUUUUCGUUUUCCUUCCUUUCUUUUUCUUUCCUUUGUUUUUCCUUUCUUCCUUUUUCCUUCCUUCCUUUUAUACUAUUUUCUUUUCCUUUUCCUUCCUUCUAGUUUUCCUUUCUUCUAGUUUUCCUUUCUUUUUCCCUCCAAACAAACAUAAAUAGAUAAUAAAUAUAACUUAACAAAUAUCUCAAAAUACCUAGACAUUUGUUAAAUUACCGUUUCACCCGAAACGCAUUAAAUUCUCCGUAAAGGAUUCACCGCACUUAAUUUAAAUUUAUUUAUCGACGAGAAAUUUUAAUUGGCAUCAAAACAUCUUUUUGAUUAUUAAACUCCAAAAUAUUAUUAACUUUGGCUUAAAAACCUCCGAGCCAAAAUCCAAAAUACACCAAAAACACAUAAAUGGUACUUUAAAAUUAUGGGUCUUACAGCCUACAUCAGGUCUAUGUCAGAUCAGGCUUUCUUUUUAAACAGAGAAGGUCAAGGCUUCUAAAAAAGCCUAUUUAAUUAAAAAGGUUUGGCUAUAGGCCACAUAAUAAACCUUUUACGCCGACCUAUUUAAAUAAAUAUAAAUAAUAUUUUUUUACCACUAUGAUUAUUAUAUUAAAUUUUGAUAUUUGUGUUAUAUAUAUUCAACUUUUAGUAAUUUACACAUAUUAACCUUAUUUAGUUUUUGGCAUAUUUAAAUGUAUUAUUAUAAAAUAUAAUUUAAGCAGGAUGUAUAUAUAGUCACAUUCUUCAAAAUGUGAUGUUAAAUAUCAAAAUAGAACUUAAUUUCAUUGACAUAUUAACUCAUUAAUCUAUUUAAAUAUAUGUUUGAUUACUUAUUCAAAAAUAUUAAAAUGAAAUAAGCAUUUAAGUAGGCUAAGAGACCAUAUCAGACUUCUAUCAAGGUCAGACUAAGGCCUAAAAAGUAAGCCUAUGACAGGACACACGCCAAGCGUAGGGCUUGAAUUUUUUGACAUGUCAGGCUUAUGCUUAGCAAAGCCUAACUCGACCCAGCCUAUUCCCACCCCUACUUGUACUAGUUCCAGUGAAGAGGCCAUAGAGCAAAAGCUUAAGCCAUUAUCCUUUCUCAUUUCAAAGUUAUUAUUUGGGAGGGGAGAAGCUCUCAACCAUGAUUCAUAUGAAAAAAUCUUUUUCUUCAAUCACUUCAAAACCUUCCCCAUCAUUUGUCACAGUUUCAUCACAGUCCCGGAGUUGGUGCCCAAUUCUCCCACAUAAAAAAAUCAGAAAUUGGGUCUGAUGUUUAGGUCUGAAGACUAGGUCUAAAGAUUGCCUCUAAAGAAUGGCUCUAAAACUGAGUCUAAAAACUGCCUCUGAAGAUUGAAUUUAAAGCAUGCCUCUAAAGCUCUUGCAUAUCUCUGAUGUACACAAACUUAGCAUAUACCUAAAGAGUUCAUAUCAAGGUAUAAUUAACUCUGAAGAUAUUAUUCAAAUCAUAAAGUCAAAGUUCACAAUCCGCUGAUCAAAAUGGUGCAACACACUCCAAAUGCUGCCUCUGAUAAGCAGCCUCUAAUGUUGCACCGACUCUGAAGUUUCAACAAGGUGAUUUUCCUAAUGUCACUAACUCUAAGUCAUGCAAUUCUACCUUUGAGUAUCUUUAUUCAAGAAACACGACAUCUAACUCAAACAAGAGAGUCAGUGCCUAUGCUGAAAAGUCAACGACUGAAAUUGAAAUAAUUAAGUAUGAAAAAAAAAAAUUAGCCGACUCCAAAACUUGUGAAUAUCCAAGAACAACCCGAAUCCAUUUCAGCUCAAAUCAAGAAAGAGUAUGAAAGAAGACUCGUGUUUUGAAAGACAAUCUAAAAUAAUAUUUGAUUUAGAUUUAUAAUUGAAGAAAAUAUUUGACCAAGUUGAAAAGAAUAUAUGAUAAAGAUUUGAAGAUGAUAUGAUUCAUAUCUUAUCAACAAAAGAUAUGAAUUAUUUACAAGAACAUUUGAUCAAGAUUUAUCACAAGAAGAUAUGAAUUAUUUAAAAGAAGAUCUGAUCAAGAUUUAUCACAAGAAGAUAUAAAUUAUUUACAGUAAUAUUUUAUCAAAAUUUAUCUACAAGAAGAUAUGAAUUAUUUACAAGAAGAUUUGAUCAAGAUUUAUCUACUAGAAGAUAUGAAUUAUUUACAAGAAGAGUUUAUCAUAAUCUACAAGAAUAUUUGAAUUAUUUACAAGAAGAUAUGAUCAAAAAUUAUUUAGAAAAAGAAACACUCAUAUAUAUUUGGCUUAAUUGCAGUUUUGGUCCCCCUAUUUUAGCUAAAUCGCGAAAGUAGUCCCUCCAUUUUGUUUCUCCCCAGUUUUGGUCCCCCAAACAGAAUUUUGGUCCAAAACUUGAUGAAAUUUCAUUUUUUUAAAGCCGUACUAUAUCAUUUAUGAUCAUAGAUAUCAUAUACAAUUGUUGCAAAUGAGAUCUUGAGGCAUGGUGUGACUUAAAUAAAUACAAAAAAAAAAUGAAAUUUCAUCAAAUUUUGGACCAAAAUUAUGUUUGAGGGACCAAAACUGGGGAGAAAUAAAAUGGGGGGACUACUUUCGCGAUUUAGCUAAAAUAGGGGGGACCAAAACUGCAAUUAAGCCUAUAUAUUUUUAUUAUUUGCAAAGAUAUGAUUCAAAUUUUGCAAAGACGGAUGAAAACCUCUAACUUAUUUUAUAAAUAGAUACACAAGGCUGAAGAACAAAAUAAGAUAACUUACGAGCACAAAAUUUACUAAGUCAUUAGAGUUCAUAAAGUUAAGAUCUAGAGAAACAUUUGCUCAAAAGAUAUAUUUUCUAAGUGUUUUCUAGUGUGAGAGUAAUUGUUACAACCAACUUGUUAGAAGCAAACAAAUUUGUUCCCAACUCUUGUAACCAUGUCUGAAUUUUGUGUUCCUCGAGAAAUUUGUAGAUUUUCAAGUUGUGAUGAGAAAAUUUGGUUUGUAGAAUCAAAGUGUUUGUUUUUCGUAGGUGACAAAUUAUUUUGAGAAUAUUGAUUUGUAGAGUCAGGUGUUGUGUAAUUCAAGUUUUGAAUUAGUGGAUUAAAUCAUGAAAGGACUAAACGUAGCUACUAAAUUGGUGGUGAAUCAGGAUAAAUUAUUGUAUCACUUUAAUUAUGUAAUUUUUGUUUUAUUUUUGUCUCUCAUCACUUAACUCAAUUGCUACUACUUUUAUUUUAAGUCACCAAACUCGAGUCAAUUUUAAAUAAAUUAACAAAAACAAUCAAACUUAGUCAAAACCAAUUCAAUUCUCUUUUCAUAUUUGCAGCUUUAGUAACCUUUGGAUCUGCUGCCUCAAAUUCUCCCAUGAUUGCCCCCAGUUUUUUUGCCAUGAACUCACUACGGAGUUUCAAGGGAAGGUCGCACACUCUUGUCCAGAAUGAGAUCGAACUCGUAUCCAUUUCAGACUACGAUGUUACGAUCAAAACUCCAUGGACCAGCCUUAAUCACAUUUUCUAAAUCUCGUAUUGAAAAAAAAACAAAAGAGAUACAGGUUCUUACCGAGUUCCUGAGUCUCUAUUAGGUUCUUAGGUCUCCAAAAUUCCACAAUCUUAGUUUUGAAAUCUCAGACAUUAUAACUGCUGUUAGUCCACAACUUUCCAACAGGGGAUCUUCUAAAGAAAUCCUCUUCCAUAUGUUCUUCAUCUUCCUCUGUAACCCCAAUCACGCCAUCUUCGAACCUAACAGCUUAAGACUCUUACGAAGACAAAAUUCAAAAUCCUGGAGAGCGCAGGGAGCUUCCAGGAUGAAACCUAGGGUAAGAUCCAAGAAAGGAAGUCUUUUUUAAUGUUGACUCUUGUUCAUUUAUAUAGCUUAUAUUUAAUUGCAAGUGAUAUCUUAAGUUUUUAGACUGUAACUAUCAUAUUGGUUAUUUGUACAUAGCUCUUUAUUUUCUAAUUUAUGGUGCCGUAUUUCAAAUUAGUAAGAAA